This 458-nucleotide ribosomal RNA is filed under the name uncultured bacterium. RNAcentral describes it as "partial 16S ribosomal RNA". It matches the Rfam family "Bacterial small subunit ribosomal RNA", at positions 28 to 507 of the family's 1533-position model. The record is from RNAcentral.
GAUCAACGCUGGCGGCGUGCAUGAGACAUGCAAGUCGAACGAAGGAUCGGGCUUGCUCGAUCCUUAGUGGCGGACGGCUGCGUAACGCGUAGGUGACCUACCCCGAAGUGGGGAAUAACUGCCCGAAAGGGUGGCUAAUACCGCAUGUGGUCGCACGUUCAUUCGUGCGAGUAAAGCCGCAAGGCGCUUCGGGAGGGGCCUGCGUCCGAUUAGCUCGUUGGUGGGGUAAUGGCUUACCAAGGCGACGAUCGGUAGGUGGUCUGAGAGGACGAUCACCCAGACUGGGACUGAGACACGGCCCAGACUCCUACGGGAGGCAGCAGUCGGGAAUUUUGCUCAAUGGGGGAAACCCUGAAGCAGCAACGCCGCGUGAGGGAUGAAGGCCUUCGGGUUGUAAACCUCUUUUGUCAGGGACGAUGAUGACGGUACCUGGCGAAUAAGCCACGGCUAACUACGUG